UGACUCUGGUUUCUCUUCAUUACGCACAAGCCUUUCGCCUUUUACUAAAGACUUCCGUGGAGAGGAACACUUAUGAGUUCAAUGUAUUUUUGGAGUGGCUUUGCUUCUUACAGAGCC
RNAcentral lists this small nuclear RNA (117 nucleotides) under Oncorhynchus kisutch (coho salmon). RNAcentral's name for it is "U5 spliceosomal RNA (ENSOKIG00005007047.1)". It matches the Rfam family "U5 spliceosomal RNA". Rfam says of the family: U5 RNA is a component of both types of known spliceosome. The precise function of this molecule is unknown, though it is known that the 5' loop is required for splice site selection and p220 binding, and that both the 3' stem-loop and the Sm site are important for Sm protein binding and cap methylation. Lineage: Eukaryota; Metazoa; Chordata; Actinopteri; Salmoniformes; Salmonidae. The record is from Rfam by way of RNAcentral.